UUUAAUCUAUGAGGAUCCUAUCUCCCUGCACCUCUUUCUCCUCUCAUCCCGCGAGACCUUCAUGGUCCAUAGAUCGCAUCUACCUUCUGCUCUACGCCUAUCCGCAUUGCAUCCCUCACCUCGCUAGUCUCCUGGACCAUGGCUUGUCCGCGAUGCUGCCUGCAUGUCGUCGAUAACCUCGACCCCGGUGCGGUCGCACUGCCGCCUGCACGUCGCCGGUCGCCUCGACCCCAGCGCAGCCGUGCUGCCGCCUGCACGUCGCUGGUAGCCCCGACCCCGGUGCGCGCGUGCUGUCGCCUGCACUUCGUCGGUCGCCUCGACCACGGUGCGGCCGCGCUGCCGCCUGCACGUCGCCCAUAGCUUCGACCCUGAUGCGCCCACGCUACCGCUUGCUCAUCUCCAUCCACUCCGCUGCUACAGGUAGAAUUUGGUACUUAUGUUUUCAGAAAUUUUGAUGAAGUUCGACCAUAUAUUAGUGAGUACUCCAGUGGUCAAGAUGGAUGUUCACCACAACCAUUUACCACCAUGUGGAACCAGAAGUCCAUUCAGUGGUUCACAAGAGAAGGUAAGACAAAGGAUUCCAGAAUAAAGUGUGUAUGUAGAUGCAUAUGCAUGUACAUAUCAGUAUCUCUGUGUGAAGAUGUUAAACAUAGCUAUUUAUGUAUCUCUGUGUGAAGAUGUUAACAUAGCUACAUAGUCAAAUAUUUUUUGCUUUCACGAACAUGAUAUGAGUGAGCUCAACGUAGGCUUUUUGGCACUAUCACAUGGUCCAUUAGAAAAUGUAACAUGUUUUACUAGCUAUGACAGGGGUAGAUUCAGAUGUCGUGUUCAAAUUCGAGAUAGACUCCUCUCCACACAGACCAAUGGGGUGGCUAUCCUUUCAGAAGAAGGGGAUAAUAAUUGGUAAUACAAUAGAAUAUUAUGCCAUAUUGACAGAGAUAGUCGAGCUGCAAUAUUUAGAUGGAAGGCGUGUGACAUUAUUUCGUUGCAACUAGAUUGACGUAUUUAACAAAGAGCAUGGAAUGAAGUAAGACAACAAGAAUGGAAUCGUUAGGCUUAACCUGCAGUGUUUGCUUUAGAUAGAUGAGCCUUUCAUUCUGGAUAGCAAAGUUUUUUUAAAAAAAUAUUAUUAAGGACAAACUUAUAAAAGGAUGGCACACAAUUGUGAAAAAAUCCAUCACGUCAUGCUUAUAAUGUACCACAUGGACAUUCCGAUGUUAUACCCUCUGAACCUGAACCUGGCAAUAGUGACAAAGACGACUUCUUUCAAAAAUUAACAACAACGUCAUGUAGAAAGAGAACAACAUGAGGCCACUAGUUUAUUCAAGUCUUAAUCUGUAGUAUUUGAUUUGCUUCUUAUAUUAGCUUUUACCUUAUUAAUAAAUAGUGACACAAGUAGUUCUGUACUUACUUUAUUUGAUUUAGCAUUCACUUAUUUAACUUAAAUUGUACUUUGUAUAGCCUUUGUGCACACUUCAACCAAACGCUAUAUAUAUAGACACACACACACAUGUUAUCACAGUGAGUCAUCAUAGGUAUGGAAACUUGACAACAUUAGCUUGGGAAAGAUGCUUUCACAGAUGAAUAAGUCUGGACUGGUACACAAAGGCAUUGCUAGGCGGACCUUCAUGGAGAAAUCAAGUCAAUUAGCAGAUUUCAGCAGAAAAGGGUUACCCACAGGCUCAAAUGCAAGAUGCGGAACUGUGAAAAAAAUACAAGUUAGCUACAAAAGAUGGAAACGAUGCGCUAACAAAUACACCAAUCUUGUUUAGUACAAAUUGGGAUGCAGGUGAUUCCAAAAGUGAGUUUGUAAGUAUCACGUACUAAACCAAGAAUUGUUUCUAUGCUUUAUUGUCUUCAAGUAAAUCAUAAUAUAUUGCAGCUAUGAAUGAUCAAGUUGAUGCCAGCAAUGAAAGUGACAUGGGAAAUUCAAUGGAUGAAUUUUAUGGUAUGUAAAAUGUAUUUAUUUCAUCUUUAAUUCAUCUACUGUGUUGGCCGAUUGGUUGUAUAUUUUCAAACACUGCAAAUGGUGUAGAUGAAUUAAUAGGUAAUAAAAAUCUAGAAAGUGAAGAAGUGUAGGGCAACCAUGGCCUUGCAAGGAGUUUUUGGUCAGUUUCAUGUUGCCUCUUUAUUUGAUCUAGUAGUAAACCUUCUGGAUAGAUAAUUUGGGAAUUGGUACACAAUUUAACUUCUGUUGUUUUUAUUCCAAUAAUAUAAGAUCAGUAUGGAUAGUCUAUUUUCUAAGACACACAAGAAGGGUACAACCUUUGUUGAUUGUACAACCUCCGCCAAACACGUAAGACUUAAUUUAACUGUAAUAACUUCAAUAAUGAACAACAAGUGUAUAAUUCCUACUUAGAGAUAGAAGUAACUUACUGUUGGCGCUCCAACAACAAGUGUACAAUUCCUACUUAGAGAUAGAAGUAACUUACUGUUGGUGCUCCAGACACAAACUAAGACCAUAGUUUAACUCGAAGAAAAGUUCAAUGGCAUGGUGUAAGAAGUUUCUGAAAUUAAGCGACUUGUGUCGGGUAGUUCUCUAAGUGAUAGUUCUCAUGAAAGCCAACAUGAUCAAGUAAGUUGUUAUUAUACAUUGAUUUUAUAUGUUAUUACACUUUGUGCCAAUUUAUUCACAUGGGCUGACUUCCAUAAACUACUCAACAUUUUGUAGGAUUGAUGGUCCACCGUGAUAUAUAGAAGUAUCAAGUAUCAGGAGGCAGUGUAAGAGCUGAUGAAGAAUGGUAUCCAUUCGAACAAUGAUGGCGUCCCUCGAUUGAAGAUAAAUAAAUAUUAUAUUUUCUAGUUGUCUCGUUUUCCAAAUAGAUAUGAUCAAGUCCAUUGGUCAUAUAAGGAUUGCUUUUGACUCAAAUUUCUGAAAUGAUAUUUUUUCAGAAUUGUAUGUCGGAAUAUUGGUAUUUCUAUCUAUUAAUGAAAGAGGCUAUGGCCCUUACAAUUCA
Triticum aestivum (bread wheat) is the source of this 2957-nucleotide RNA transcript. RefSeq lists it as uncharacterized. The transcript is spliced from 4 exons. The record is from RefSeq and is a predicted model, not a curated record. Lineage: Eukaryota; Viridiplantae; Streptophyta; Magnoliopsida; Poales; Poaceae.